RNAcentral lists this ribosomal RNA (377 nucleotides) under uncultured bacterium. Its description in RNAcentral is "bacterial SSU rRNA". It matches the Rfam family "Bacterial small subunit ribosomal RNA", at positions 521 to 898 of the family's 1533-position model. The record is from RNAcentral.
UAAUACGUAGGGUGCGAGCGUUAAUCGGAAUUACUGGGCGUAAAGCGUGCGCAGGCGGUUUUGUAAGACAGAGGUGAAAUCCCCGGGCUCAACCUGGGAACUGCCUUUGUGACUGCAAGGCUAGAGUACGGCAGAGGGGGAUGGAAUUCCGCGUGUAGCAGUGAAAUGCGUAGAUAUGCGGAGGAACACCGAUGGCGAAGGCAAUCCCCUGGGCCUGUACUGACGCUCAUGCACGAAAGCGUGGGGAGCAAACAGGAUUAGAUACCCUGGUAGUCCACGCCCUAAACGAUGUCAACUGGUUGUUGGGUCUUAACUGACUCAGUAACGAAGCUAACGCGUGAAGUUGACCGCCUGGGGAGUACGGCCGCAAGGUUGAA